RNAcentral lists this ribosomal RNA (367 nucleotides) under uncultured soil bacterium. RNAcentral describes it as "bacterial SSU rRNA". It matches the Rfam family "Bacterial small subunit ribosomal RNA", at positions 26 to 396 of the family's 1533-position model. The record is from RNAcentral.
AGGACGAACGCUGGCGGCGUGCUUAACACAUGCAAGUCGAGCGGAAAGGCCUUUCGGGGUACUCGAGCGGCGAACGGGUGAGUAACACGUGAGUAAUCUGCCCAUCGCUUCAGGAUAGCCAUCGGAAACGGUGAUUAAUACUGGAUAAUGACAUUCCUUCGCAUGUUGGGGUGUGGAAAGUUUUUUCGGCGGUGGAUGUGCUCGCGGCCUAUCAGCUUGUUGGUGGGGUAAUGGCCUACCAAGGCUUUGACGGGUAGCCGGCCUGAGAGGGUGACCGGCCACACUGGGACUGAGACGCGGCCCAGACUCCUACGGGAGGCAGCAGUGGGGAAUAGUUGGACAAUGGGCGAAGCCUGAUCCAGCAACG